RNAcentral lists this long non-coding RNA (886 nucleotides) under Mus spicilegus (steppe mouse). RNAcentral's name for it is "lncRNA (ENSMSIG00000000480.1)". The record is from RNAcentral. Lineage: Eukaryota; Metazoa; Chordata; Mammalia; Rodentia; Muridae.
GACUGCCUCUGCCUCUGCCUCUGCCUCUGCCUCUGCCUCUGCCUCUGCCUCUGCCUCUGCCUCUGCCUCUGCUUCCGCUGAAGGCCAGCCAGUGAAGCACCCACUCCUGCUUCCUCUGGGCUCCACCCUGUCUGGGCUCCAGAGCUCUCCCUGGGGAGUACACUCUGAGCCACAUCACCCUCUCAAGUUCUAUUCCUGCCUUGUUUUCUCCUCCCUGUGUCUUGCAUCUGAGCUGCUUUGGGGGUGAAGAAACCUUUUCGUGGAAACAGGCUGUGAGGCCCUCUGUUCCACCUGGGCUUUUCCAUGGCUGCCAAGAGGGGCCCAGCUCCUGCUCCUUCUCUUUCCCCAGCCUGAUGCUCAAGCCCUGCCAGGUCCUUGCUGCCGGGAGUACCGGGCUGGCACAUUCCAGAGAGAACACCAUUGGGUGAUGACACCUUUUAACCUGUCUUAGGGAGGAGGGUUUGGGAGACUGGACUCUGCAGGAGAACAGAAUGUCACUACAGUCAGUGACAGCGUGGAAGCCAGGAGCACCUGGUGGGGGCAUGGUCCACAUAACUGAGCUUGGACCCAAACCCUCGUUUCAGCAGCAUCAAAUGGACCCAGUCAACUCCCCCAGGCAUCGAAUGUCUGCAGGAGGAGACACAGGUGCUGAGGAUGCUGGACUCUUUUCUCUGUUCCUGAAACCUCUCCAAGGCAGUUUCCUCUUCCCUCUGCAGCAGCUGCAGCUCCUGAUCCUGCUCUUUCCCCUUCAGGAAUGCACAGUCUCCCCUCUCACUGUCACCGUUCUCUGCACCAUAUCUCCCCGUAAUAAAAAACAGUCCUCCCGUGGCAUCUAUACCCCCCCCAACAGUUUAGGACCAUUAUAUUAAAUAAUGAUAAUCACAAG